AAUGAACGUUGGCGGCGUGGAUUAGGCAUGCAAGUCGAGCGAGAAGGGGCUGCUCAUCAUGAGCUGAAGGCAACAGAGCUAUUGGCUGACAGCUUGUGAUGAGUAGCCCCGGACAGCGGCGAAAGGGAGAGUAACGCGUAGUUACGUGCCCAGGGGUUCGGAAUAGCCACGGGAAACUGUGGGUAAUGCCGAAUAACAUCUCCGGAUCAAAGGUGUGAUUCCGCCCUUGGAGCGGACUGCGUCCUACUAGCUAGUUGGCGGGGUAAUGGCCCACCAAGGCAACAAUGGGUAGCGGGUGUGAGAGCAUGACCCGUCUCACUGGGACUGAGACACUGCCCAGACACCUACGGGUGGCUGCAGUCGAGAAUCUUCGGCAAUGAGCGCAAGCUUGACCGAGCGACGCCGCGUGCGGGAUGAAGGCCCUCGGGUGUAAACCGCUGUCGUAGGGGAGGAAAUCAACGAGGGUUCUCCCUCGUAGUUGACCUAUCCUAGGAGGAAGUACGGGCUAAGUUCGUGCCAGCCGCCGCAGU
Molecule: ribosomal RNA, 530 nt
Filed under: uncultured bacterium
Lineage: Bacteria
Description: bacterial SSU rRNA
Rfam family: Bacterial small subunit ribosomal RNA
Source: RNAcentral